Molecule: ribosomal RNA, 696 nt
Filed under: uncultured bacterium
Lineage: Bacteria
Description: bacterial SSU rRNA
Rfam family: Bacterial small subunit ribosomal RNA
Source: RNAcentral
GAGUUUGAUCCUGGCUCAGAUUGAACGCUGGCGGCAGGCCUAACACAUGCAAGUCGAACGGUAACAGGAAGAAGCUUGCUUCUUUGCUGACGAGUGGCGGACGGGUGAGUAAUGUCUGGGAAACUGCCCGAUGGAGGGGGAUAACUACUGGAAACGGUAGCUAAUACCGCAUAACGUCGCAAGACCAAAGAGGGGGACCUUCGGGCCUCUUGCCAUCGGAUGUGCCCAGAUGGGAUUAGCUAGUAGGUGGGGUAACGGCUCACCUAGGCGACGAUCCCUAGCUGGUCUGAGAGGAUGACCAGCCACACUGGAACUGAGACACGGUCCAGACUCCUACGGGAGGCAGCAGUGGGGAAUAUUGCACAAUGGGCGCAAGCCUGAUGCAGCCAUGCCGCGUGUAUGAAGAAGGCCUUCGGGUUGUAAAGUACUUUCAGCGGGGAGGAAGGGAGCAAAGUUAAUACCUUUGCUCAUUGACGUUACCCGCAGAAGAAGCACCGGCUAACUCCGUGCCAGCAGCCGCGGUAAUACGGAGGGUGCAAGCGUUAAUCGGAAUUACUGGGCGUAAAGCGCACGCAGGCGGUUUGUUAAGUCAGAUGUGAAAUCCCCGGGCUCAACCUGGGAACUGCAUCUGAUACUGGCAAGCUUGAGUCUCGUAGAGGGGGGUAGAAUUCCAGGUGUAGCGGUGAAAUGCGUAGA